GGUUACUUGAACAAUGGAUUUGCAAAUGCAGUACAGCUGACUUAUGUUUCACAUGAUUGUCACAUCAGUGAGCAAGGUUCAGUUUAGGGAUUGAGAGCCCUCAGCAACUAUAACAUCUAGCCCAUAUUCACAUUGUAGCACUUGAUUGCUGCCACGGAUUCUUCAAAAUGCCUAUCUUGUAUGGGAUGCUUGACAGCCAAAUGGAAUGAUUUAAACAAAUGCCAAAGGUGAGACAUGCUGGAAAAGCUUGAUAUGAAUGUGUAGACGUAGUUUUGGAAUUCAGAGGUGCAGCCGGCUGUUGGGAUUGCGCCAUCCAGGCAAUGUGGAUAUUCUGCCAUGUACAUAAUAAACCAAGGAUUCUUCGUCAACAUGCAAGAUGUUACUCCCUGUAAACUACUGUUGGCUGAAUAGCUGAUACAUUGGGAAAACGGUUAUGGCAAGUGCGAUGAAUAAAUCACCAUAGGUCGGUUGUCUUGCCUUCACAAUUGCAACGAAGAUGAAUCAUGGAGUCAAAAACAUUAAAAGGCGAACAUGCUGGAAUUCGUGUCAUCCUGGAGAGGACUAAAAAAAACGAGCUUUAUCCACGAAGCAGCUCAUUAAUCAUGUCCCAAACGAUUGUCUGCGUCAGCCAGCAAUCUUUCAAUGGCUAACAAGCAUGUAAUAGUUUUGAAAAUCGCGGUUUGCACUCCCUAAGGCGACAUUCCUUAAUCCCACCUGUCAAAAGAUUUGAAUGCAACCAUUUUCUUUUCUGAACUGUCGCCUACGAAAUUCUUUUUCCAUAAAAUGAGGUGAUAUGAGGUUAUAAUGGAAAUUGUCGUCAAGACUGCCGAGACCAUGUACCUUCUUUACCUUCACGUUUAGUGAUCAAAACAACCAACUAUGUAACCUUUCUUUUUCUUUUUAAGGUGCAUGGAACGUCCAUUCGGAAAGCCCAUGGAAGGUCUCUGUGGCCAACACGAAAGGUUCUCCCAAACUUUCGUAUUCAAGUUUUGGCUAUGGUGAUCAUUUGCAACUGCAUAGCCUUUUAGAAGCUCCUGCCAGGAAUCUACAGGAAUAUGGCAGAUGAUGAAUUUAUGUACCAUGUAAGCGAUAUCAAUA
Molecule: long non-coding RNA, 1098 nt
Organism: Daphnia carinata
Lineage: Eukaryota; Metazoa; Arthropoda; Branchiopoda; Diplostraca; Daphniidae
Exons: 6
Source: RefSeq, a predicted model, not a curated record